This is a long non-coding RNA of Peromyscus californicus insignis, 677 nucleotides long. RefSeq lists it as uncharacterized. The record is from RefSeq and is a predicted model, not a curated record. The transcript is spliced from 2 exons. Lineage: Eukaryota; Metazoa; Chordata; Mammalia; Rodentia; Cricetidae.
UCUUUUCUUUUCCUUUUUGUUUUUAUGUUUCUAUGAUCCUGGGGAUUGGAGCUAGGCCCUUGAGCAUGCUGGACAAAUGCUCUACCACAGAAUUCUUACAUAUUAACCCUCAAUCUCCCCGGCCCUUAGAAUCAUCCCCAAAUGAAUAUCACAUCCCUCUCUCUCAGGCCUCUCUCUGCGUCUCUGAGAUUGGAGACCUGCACAUCCGUGUCACCUGCCUCCCAAUCACAGCCUGCAUUUUAACAAGCCCCCCCUCCCUGCCGCCCCCAGAAGCUGUGCUCAUUACGCCCAAGGCAUGCUGCUGCGAGCAUUUGGCUCUCACACCUGCUGCACACCAGAGCCUCCCAGGGACCUGGAACGGAUGCCUGCUUCCCUCUGCCAGAAAUUCUCAGCUAAUUGGCCUGUGGUGGGGACUCGUUAGCCUUCCAGGUGAUCCCAACAUGCAGCAGAGUCGGCGAAUCACCAACUGAGAGGAAACCGGAGAAGUCAAACAAAAGGACGGUCAUGCCGAGCAUGCAUGACACCUCACCUCUUCCUGGAUUAUACUUGAGAUGUUGGACUCAUCACACGGACCACUAGAUGCUUGGCUUUGUAGCCUGAUCAAAUGAAGAGUCGCUGAUGUCAAGUUGCUGACAUGGGGAGUCAAACCACAAAUAAAGGCUGCUGAUAAGUUUGGA